UACGUAGGGGGCAAGCGUUGUCCGGAUUUAUUGGGCGUAAAGAGCGUGUAGGCGGUCUGGUAGGUCCGUUGUGAAAACUCGAGGCUCAACCUCGAGACGCCGAUGGAAACCAUCAGACUAGAGUCCGGAAGAGGAGAGUGGAAUUCCUGGUGUAGCGGUGAAAUGCGCAGAUAUCAGGAAGAACACCCGUGGCUAAGGCGGCUCUCUAGUACGGUACUGACGCUGAGACGCGAAAGCGUGGGAGCGAACAGG
This 252-nucleotide ribosomal RNA is filed under the name uncultured bacterium. RNAcentral's name for it is "partial 16S ribosomal RNA". It matches the Rfam family "Bacterial small subunit ribosomal RNA", at positions 524 to 776 of the family's 1533-position model. The record is from RNAcentral.